GUGCCAGCAGCCGCGGUAAUACGGGGGGGGCAAGCGUUGUUCGGAAUUACUGGGCGUAAAGGGCUCGUAGGCGGCUGCCUAAGUCGGACGUGAAAUCCCACGGCUCAACCGUGGAACUGCGUCCGGUACUGGGCGGCUUGAAUCCAAGAGAGGGAUGCGGAAUUCCAGGUGUAGCGGUGAAAUGCGUAGAUAUCUGGAGGAACACCGGUGGCGAAGGCGGCAUCCUGGAUUGGUAUUGACGCUGAUGAGCGAAAGCCAGGGGAGCAAACGGGAUUAGAAACCCCCGUAGUCC
This 292-nucleotide ribosomal RNA is filed under the name uncultured bacterium. Its description in RNAcentral is "partial 16S ribosomal RNA". It matches the Rfam family "Bacterial small subunit ribosomal RNA", at positions 505 to 796 of the family's 1533-position model. The record is from RNAcentral.